GAUGAACGCUAGCGACAGGCCUAACACAUGCAAGUCGAGGGGCAGCACAUGCGUAGCAAUACAAUGGUGGCGACCGGCGCACGGGUGAGUAACACGUAUGCAACCUACCUGUAAGAGGGGAAUAACCCGGAGAAAUUCGGGCUAACACCGCAUAAUACCGAUUAACUGCAUGGUUGAUCGGUUAAAUAUUUAUAGCUUACAGAUGGGCAUGCGUAACAUUAGAUAGUUGGUGAGGUAACGGCUCACCAAGUCAACGAUGUUUAGGGGUUCUGAGAGGAAGGUCCCCCACACUGGUACUGAGACACGGACCAGACUCCUACGGGAGGCAGCAGUGAGGAAUAUUGGUCAAUGGGCGAGAGCCUGAACCAGCCAAGUCGCGUGAAGGAAGAAGGUUCUAUGGAUUGUAAACUUCUUUUGUAAGGGAAUAGAAAAGCUUACGUGUAGGCUAUUGUAUGUACCUUACGAAUAAGGAUCGGCUAACUCCGUGCCAGCCGCCGCAGUAA
Molecule: ribosomal RNA, 503 nt
Filed under: uncultured bacterium
Lineage: Bacteria
Description: partial 16S ribosomal RNA
Rfam family: Bacterial small subunit ribosomal RNA
Source: RNAcentral